GACGAACGCUGGCGGCGUGCUUAACACAUGCAAGUCGAACGGAAAGGCCCUGCUUUUGUGGGGUGCUCGAGUGGCGAACGGGUGAGUAACACGUGAGUAACCUGCCCUUGACUUUGGGAUAACUUCAGGAAACUGGGGCUAAUACCGGAUAGGAGCUCCUGCUGCAUGGUGGGGGUUGGAAAGUUUCGGCGGAUGGGGAUGGACUCGCGGCUUAUCAGCUUGUUGGUGGGGUAGUGGCUUACCAAGGCUUUGACGGGUAGCCGGCCUGAGAGGGUGACCGGCCACAUUGGGACGGAGAUACGGCCCAGACUCCUACGGGAGGCAGCAGUGGGGAAUAUUGCACAAUGGGCGGAAGCCGGAUGCAGCAGCGCCGCGUGCGGGAUGACGGCCUUCGGGUUGUAAACCGCUUUCGCCUGUGACGAAGCGUGAGUGACGGUAAUGGGUAAAGAAGCACCGGCUAACUACGUG
Molecule: ribosomal RNA, 468 nt
Filed under: uncultured bacterium
Lineage: Bacteria
Description: partial 16S ribosomal RNA
Rfam family: Bacterial small subunit ribosomal RNA
Source: RNAcentral